Molecule: ribosomal RNA, 503 nt
Filed under: uncultured bacterium
Lineage: Bacteria
Description: bacterial SSU rRNA
Rfam family: Bacterial small subunit ribosomal RNA
Source: RNAcentral
UCAGGAUGAACGCUAGCUACAGGCUUAACACAUGCAAGUCGAGGGGCAGCAUUGGAGUAGCAAUACUCAGAUGGCGACCGGCGCACGGGUGAGUAACACGUAUCCAACCUGCCGCUUACUCGGGGAUAGCCUUUCGAAAGAAAGAUUAAUACCCGAUGGUAUAAAGAGUUCGCAUGUUCUCUUUAUUAAAGAAUUUCGGUAAGCGAUGGGGAUGCGUUCCAUUAGAUAGUUGGCGGGGUAACGGCCCACCAAGUCUACGAUGGAUAGGGGUUCUGAGAGGAAGGUCCCCCACAUUGGAACUGAGACACGGUCCAAACUCCUACGGGAGGCAGCAGUGAGGAAUAUUGGUCAAUGGACGAGAGUCUGAACCAGCCAAAAGUAGCGUGAAGGAUGACUGCCCUAUGGGUUGUAAACUUCUUUUAUAAGGGAAUAAAGUGAGGGACGUGUCCCUUUUUGUAUGUACCUUAUGAAUAAGGAUCGGCUAACUCCGUGCCAGCCGCGGC